This 548-nucleotide ribosomal RNA is filed under the name uncultured Bifidobacterium sp. RNAcentral describes it as "bacterial SSU rRNA". It matches the Rfam family "Bacterial small subunit ribosomal RNA", at positions 147 to 710 of the family's 1533-position model. The record is from RNAcentral. Lineage: Bacteria; Bacillati; Actinomycetota; Actinomycetes; Bifidobacteriales; Bifidobacteriaceae.
CUCCUGGAAACGGGUGGUAAUGCCGGAUGCUCCGCCCCCUCGCAUGGGGGGUCGGGAAGGCUUUUGCGGAAUGGGAUGGGGUCGCGUCCUAUCAGCUUGUUGGCGGGGCGACGGCCCACCAAGGCUUCGACGGGUAGCCGGCCUGAGAGGGCGACCGGCCACAUUGGGACUGAGAUACGGCCCAGACUCCUACGGGAGGCAGCAGUGGGGAAUAUUGCACAAUGGGGGGAACCCUGAUGCAGCGACGCCGCGUGCGGGAUGGAGGCCUUCGGGUCGUGAACCGCUUUUGAUUGGGGGCAAGCGUGAGUGAGUGUACCUUUCGAAUAAGCACCGGCUAACUACGUGCCAGCAGCCGCGGUAAUACGUAGGGUGCAAGCGUUGUCCGGAAUCAUUGGGCGUAAAGGGCUCGUAGGCGGUUCGUCGCGUCCGGUGUGAAAGCCCAUCGCUUAACGGUGGGUCUGCGCCGGGUACGGGCGGGCUUGAGUGCGGCAGGGGAGGCUGGAAUUCCCGGUGUAACGGUGGAAUGUGUAGAUAUCGGGAAGAACACC